AUAAAACCGGCCAUUUUGGUGUGUCAGCCUUUUCCUCACUUAGACUGGAGGGUCUGCACGUGGCCUGGUUACGAGGCUGUCAGAGAACCCACAAGGUGACAAGGCUAAGUCGAUACCAAACUACAAGAUCUUGGCCCUCCACAGAAGACUGCAGUCUGUUAACCUCUCUGGGAUAUGUGGGACGGUAGCAUCCCACCUCGCCAACAGCCAGUGAAAUUGCAGGGUGCCAAAUUCAAAACUGAAAUCCCAUAAUUAAAAUUCCUCAAACAAGUAUUUUACAUGAUUUUAAAGAUAAACUUCUUGUAAAUCCAGCCACAGUGUCCGAUUUUCAUAUGGGCUUUGUGGCGAAAGCACACCAAACGAUUAUGUUAGGUCAGCACCUAGCCACAGAAAACCAUAGGGCCAUUUUCCAGCCAAGGAGAGCCCUCAGUCAGAAAUAGAAAUUAAAUAAACAUUUGAUCUUCAUCAGAUGGCACUCCCAGGACUGCCGUGUUACUUCUCAAUGCAACUGCUGUCAGAUUUCAAAAAGGCUUUACGGCAAAAGCGCAUCGAUUAUUUGAGGUCAGCACCUAGCCACAGAAAAACAUACAGCCAUUUUCCAAAGGAGGUGUCACAAGUCAGAAAUAGCAUUAUAAAUAUUCACUUACCUUUGAUCUUUACCAGAAUGCACUCCCAGGAAUCCCAGUUCCACAAAUGUUUGUUUUGUUCGAUAAAGUCCAUUUAUGUCCAAAUAGCUCUUGUUUGCGUGUUUAGUUCACAAAUCCAAACUCACGAGGCGCGGGAUAGUCCAGGCGCAAAUUCAGACAGUCCAAAAAGUUCUGUAACAGGUCGUAGAAAUGUCAAACGACGUAUAGAAUCAAUCUUUAGGAUGUUUUUAUCAUAAAUAUUCAAUAAUAUUUCAAUUCCUUUGUCUUUAGAAAUGCAAUAGAAUGCAGCUAACUCUCGGGCAUGAGCGAGACUGAGUUCAUGGCACUCUGCCAGACACCUGGCUCAAACAAGGUUCUAAAGAUACUCACAGACAUCAUUCAAGCAGUUUUAGAAACUUCGGAGUGUUUUCAAUUCAAAUCUACUAAUUAUAUUCAUAAUCUAGCUUUUGAGCCUGCGUAGCAGGCAGUUUACUCUGGGCACCUGCUUAUCCAAACCACUCAGUACUGCCCCCCAGUACCAAAGAAGUUAACAUGGGGUGAGAUCUUUAAUGGAUUAUUUAGGGGCCUGUGUUUUGCACGAGGCACUUUUACCUGUAUUUCCAGAAUUAUCCAGCUGGUGUCACUUCAGUCCCUUUUUUUUAAAUCCACCAGCUCACCAAUUUAUCAAAGCAAUAAGGAUUAUUUCCCCAACAUGACCAAGAUUGUGAAACAAUAUCCCUUUUGCUAAUAAUUCUGUAGAUGUGGGAAGAAUUGUUAAUACCAGGGCUGACUCAGCAAUGGAAAUGUGCUGACCUAAGUGAGAAUUUAUUAUUUAUGUUCCUGAUUAUGUAAGGCUGAAACAUUAAAAUAUUUGAAUCAGA
Long non-coding RNA from Oncorhynchus mykiss (rainbow trout), 1507 nucleotides. RefSeq lists it as uncharacterized. NCBI's taxonomy places the organism in Eukaryota, Metazoa, Chordata, Actinopteri, Salmoniformes, Salmonidae. The record is from RefSeq and is a predicted model, not a curated record.